This is a long non-coding RNA of Rhododendron vialii, 664 nucleotides long. RefSeq lists it as uncharacterized. The transcript has 2 exons. Lineage: Eukaryota; Viridiplantae; Streptophyta; Magnoliopsida; Ericales; Ericaceae. The record is from RefSeq and is a predicted model, not a curated record.
AUACAAUGUUUGCAUGAUAAUGAAUGGGACACACUUAUGUGGGUGCAGAUUCGAUUGUGGAUUUUAUACCUUAAGGUUUAUAGAGCACUGGACUGGGGGAAGGAUGAAUACACGUGAACUAGAGGCUAACAUGGGUAUUGAUAUGCGAAUGAGGCUACUCGUACGGUUUAUAUUAUCCCCGCACAACAAGAGGCGAGAUGAUGUACUGCAGAAGUGCAGAUAAAAAUUACCGGGUACAACGGAAGCAGAAGUGGUUGUAAAAUGGCACUGCAUGAGCAGAUGAAAGGAUUUCGUAUGCACUGAUUUUUGUUAACUAUUUAUAAUGUGUUUUGUCCAGUAAGUUGGUGUUUGAAUUUGAACAAUAGUAAGACAGUUAGUGAUUGUUUUGUCCAGAUGAUAGUAGGUGCUGGUUUGUGGGUACAGUGAAGUGGUGUUAAAGAUAGGUUACAGGAAGGUAGGUUACAGAGUAGUCAGAUAGAAGGGAGACAGAUAAUGACAGUAGUGAGGAAAUGUGGGUGGUUGUGGGGUUGGUAGUGCAUGGGUGGAGUAUUUCAUUUCUGGUGUUGGUGCACUAUUGUGGGUGGUCUAAAUCAGUCCAACCUCUAUCAUAAACAACUUUAUGAAAAAGGGUAGUUACCAAAUAAAGGAUUAGCCCUUCUGGUUC